CAAUAGCGUAUAUUAAAGUUGUUGCGGUUAAAAAGCUCGUAGUUGGAUCUCGGCAGGCAGGGGGUGGUUCGCUCUUAGCGCUACUGCCCCAUUUGCCUGUGUGAUUGGCGGAGGUUUCGGGGUGCUCUUCGUUGAGUGACCCGGGGCGCCGUCAGGUUUACUUUGAAAAAAUUAGAGUGCUCAAAGCAGGCUUUUCACGCUUGAAUAUUCGUGCAUGGAAUAAUGGAAUAGGAACUCGUUUCUAUUUUGUUGGUUUUCGGAAAUCGAGUUAAUGAUUAAUAGGGACAAUUGGGGGCAUUAGUAUUCAGACGACAGAGGUGAAACUCUUGGACCGUCUGAAGACUAACUACUGCGAAAGCAUUCGCCAAGAGUGUUUUCAUUAA
This 383-nucleotide ribosomal RNA is filed under the name uncultured eukaryote. Its description in RNAcentral is "partial 18S ribosomal RNA". It matches the Rfam family "Eukaryotic small subunit ribosomal RNA", at positions 592 to 976 of the family's 1831-position model. The record is from RNAcentral.